GGGAGCUUGCUCCCUGAUGUUAGCGGCGGACGGGUGAGUAACACGUGGGUAACCUGCCUGUAAGACUGGGAUAACUCCGGGAAACCGGGGCUAAUACCGGAUGGUUGUUUGAACCGCAUGGUUCAAACAUAAAAGGUGGCUUCGGCUACCACUUACAGAUGGACCCGCGGCGCAUUAGCUAGUUGGUGAGGUAACGGCUCACCAAGGCAACGAUGCGUAGCCGACCUGAGAGGGUGAUCGGCCACACUGGGACUGAGACACGGCCCAGACUCCUACGGGAGGCAGCAGUAGGGAAUCUUCCGCAAUGGACGAAAGUCUGACGGAGCAACGCCGCGUGAGUGAUGAAGGUUUUCGGAUCGUAAAGCUCUGUUGUUAGGGAAGAACAAGUACCGUUCGAAUAGGGCGGUACCUUGACGGUACCUAACCAGAAAGCCACGGCUAACUACGUGCCAGCAGCCGCGGUAAUACGUAGGUGGCAAGCGUUGUCCGGAAUUAUUGGGCGUAAAGGGCUCGCAGGCGGUUUCUUAAGUCUGAUGUGAAAGCCCCCGGCUCAACCGGGGAGGGUCAUUGGAAACUGGGGAACUUGAGUGCAGAAGAGGAGAGUGGAAUUCCACGUGUAGCGGUGAAAUGCGUAGAGAUGUGGAGGAACACCAGUGGCGAAGGCGACUCUCUGGUCUGUAACUGACGCUGAGGAGCGAAAGCGUGGGGAGCGAACAGGAUUAGAUACCCUGGUAGUCCACGCCGUAAACGAUGAGUGCUAAGUGUUAGGGGGGUUUCCGCCCCUUAGUGCUGCAGCUAACGCAUUAAGCACUCCGCCUGGGGAGUACGGUCGCAAGACUGAAACUCAAAGGAAUUGACGGGGGCCCGCACAAGCGGUGGAGCAUGUGGUUUAAUUCGAAGCAACGCGAAGAACCUUACCAGGUCUUGACAUCCUCUGACAAUCCUAGAGAUAGGACGUCCCCUUCGGGGGCAGAGUGACAGGUGGUGCAUGGUUGUCGUCAGCUCGUGUCGUGAGAUGUUGGGUUAAGUCCCGCAACGAGCGCAACCCUUGAUCUUAGUUGCCAGCAUUCAGUUGGGCACUCUAAGGUGACUGCCGGUGACAAACCGGAGGAAGGUGGGGAUGACGUCAAAUCAUCAUGCCCCUUAUGACCUGGGCUACACACGUGCUACAAUGGACAGAACAAAGGGCAGCGAAACCGCGAGGUUAAGCCAAUCCCACAAAUCUGUUCUCAGUUCGGAUCGCAGUCUGCAACUCGACUGCGUGAAGCUGGAAUCGCUAGUAAUCGCGGAUCAGCAUGCCGCGGGGAAUACGUCCCCGGGCUUUGUACACACC
Molecule: ribosomal RNA, 1333 nt
Filed under: Bacillus subtilis
Lineage: Bacteria; Bacillati; Bacillota; Bacilli; Caryophanales; Bacillaceae
Description: bacterial SSU rRNA
Rfam family: Bacterial small subunit ribosomal RNA
Source: RNAcentral